This is a long non-coding RNA of Arabidopsis lyrata subsp. lyrata, 2490 nucleotides long. RefSeq lists it as uncharacterized. The record is from RefSeq and is a predicted model, not a curated record. The transcript is spliced from 3 exons. NCBI's taxonomy places the organism in Eukaryota, Viridiplantae, Streptophyta, Magnoliopsida, Brassicales, Brassicaceae.
AUGCAAGUGUUUUGACCAAUCCUGAAGCUGUUGAUGAUCAUGUCUCUAUGGAUCCAAAUAUGUUUUCUGAUUUUGAGGGCAUUGAAGAUGGAGACUUAGUGUUUCAGAGAUGUUUUGAUGAUGAUGAUCUACGAUUCUCUGAUAUUUUCAAAGACUUUGCAAACACCAUUGCGGCAAUUUGAAGAUAUCUCUGCAGUUUUUCAAACUAGGAAAGGAUAAAGAUGAUGAUUGUAUUGGUGAAAAAGCCCAAGUUUGAAGCAUCAGUGGUCAUUCAAAGAGGAUGUGAUAUAUUAUUUCCUCCUCAUCUCCACAUCUAGGGAAGAUCUUCUCCUUACCAAUGUGACGGUAGAAUAGGAUAUGAUAUUAUGCCAAAUACCCUGAUAGACAAUGCCACACAAAAAAUGCUUAAAUUUUUGGGUAGUUUUAAGCUUUCAAACUUAGGCCAAAAGGGGAGUGAUCUCAGGUCCUUGAAAAAGGUGGUCACAAGUUGGGCAAGAAAGAUCCCGCGCGGCCCAAUACACUGACUUAAACUUGUAAUAAUAUGUUCAGAGCAUUCUUUGGCCAACCCCAUCAAGCAGGGCUUGUACUCCUAAUUGUUAUUACUAAAUUUUGGCUUUAAUUUUAUAGAUAUUCUUUUCGUCUUGCAUUUAUUACUUUUAUAAGUUCAAACCACAAAAAUGUCAUUAUCAUAUAUAUAUGAAGAUUAUAUUAGUCUAAAUGGGAAGAUGCUCACCUCAAAAUGGGGAUACUUUAGAAAAAUGAAACACUCGUGUCCUUGUUCUCCUUGUUCGCAAAACUCACAAUGGAGAAUCAUAAACAUAUACGAGGUUGGAUCUUUUAUCUUAUUUGGCAGACAAUAAAAACAUUAAAAAGUUGCAUAAGUAAUAUGUCCAUAAAAAUAUGAAGAAAAAGAUAUGUGAAGAAAAAAAUAAAUGGAUUAAUGGUAAAAGCCUCCUAGGUUUAUUGGGAGAGUAGAGAGAAAGAAGGAAAAUCGGUAUAAAUAAAGAGAAAAAAAAAUGAUGAAGGCUGGAGUUUGGGAAUCGAAAAAGGAGAGAGAAAGAGGAAGGAUAUAGAUAAAGGAAAGAGAGGGUAGUUCGGUCUUUUGACUUUGAUGUUAUGGCAAUUGAAAAAACGGCAAACACAGUAUGACAUAUCUGAUAAGUUUUUGAAUAAUAUGUGGCAUUCUUCUUAAUUUUCUCUAUCAUAAACAUCAAUGAGAUUAUUUCCUAUUCCACCAACAAGAUCCAUCCAAUGCCACUAAUUCAUGUCCGGUCCGUAAACCAUUUAAUUAAUUGGCAAUGAAAUGGAUUGGAUGGGCUUGGCUUAUAUACUCACCACAACAUGUCUAUGGAUAGUCAUACAACGCAUAGCCAUGAGCAAUCCAAAAAGCACUUUGUUUAGGGGGUUAGUUAUUCUUAGGUUUGAGUUUCUUUGUAAUUUGUUUAUAUGUUUUUUUUUGUAUAAUAACUUAUCUAUGUAAUAAAUCUUUUAAUUGAAGUAAGAUGUUAUCAAAUUAAAAGGUCGAAUACACAUCUUAAAUAAGAAAAUGGAGAAAAGUAGCACUCCCAAAAUCGUAGGUUAAUUCAUUGUUGAAGUACGUAAAUAUAAAUCAUGAACUUCUAUAACUGAUAAAUCGUUAGAAAAAGAGAUCAAUGUGAAUGGUGAAGAAGUUGGUGUAUUAGAAAAUGGCUAAGAUAGAAAAUAGUUUUUAUGAAAAUGUGUAAAAGCGGCCCAUUUGUUUUUUUGUUUCGGCCUUUUAAAGUUCGGGGUUUAACCGUAAUUAGCUUUGACCUAGUGUCUUCAAUAUCCUCCAUAUAUAUACAUAUAUUUGUUUGUGUCAAAAUCAUACAAUUUAGAUUCGUAUCAUAGCUUUCAGAAACCUAAAAUACCUACACAAAAAAUUUCUUUUCAAAACCCUCGACUCUUUUUUUAUUUCUUCUUCUUUAGCCGCCAACUUUUCUUUUUUCUUCUCCGAUUUCCCCCUCUUAGUGAAACAAUCACCACUGCCUAUUACGCUAUCUCUCUAAGAGAUCUAGAAUUGGGAAGCUCUCGUGAUGGCCAAAUCUGAAGAGGGCUUGGGGCCAAAGUUUUCUCUUAGAAAGCACAGAUAACGAUUGAACCAAUUUUUAAAGAAGAUCUUAUUCAUAAUUCCUUAGAGACGAUUCAAGAAGAAGUUGAUCUUUUUUCCCAUGUUUUUAUUUUUUUUCAUGAGGAUUGGAAGGGCCUAGAAGAGACAAGCAGUGAUUUCGAAGGUCGAGAGAUAGUAUCUCUAUGUGCUUGAAGAUUUUGGACAACACACUUUUUUGUAGAAAAGAUCAGAUGGGAAGAAACGAUGAGACACACACCACCAAGGAGUUCCACCUACUUAUCUGAGGACUCUGACAACUUUGAUAUUUGCUUUGGAUGCGAUAUUGAUUGUGGACAAAAUAGACUCUUCACUAGUAAGUAUUUAUGAUUAAGAAAUUAAAAAAUCAAUUGAUAUCUGAUCUU